RNAcentral lists this ribosomal RNA (420 nucleotides) under bacterium. Its description in RNAcentral is "partial 16S ribosomal RNA". It matches the Rfam family "Bacterial small subunit ribosomal RNA", at positions 355 to 776 of the family's 1533-position model. The record is from RNAcentral.
UGGGGGAUAUUGCACAAUGGGCGAAAGCCUGAUGCAGCGACGCCGCGUGGGGGAUGAAGGCUUUCGGGUUGUAAACCUCUUUCGCUAUCGAACAAGGCCCGCUUAGGGUGGGUUGAGGGUAGGUGGAGAAGAAGCGCCGGCUAACUACGUGCCAGCAGCCGCGGUAAUACGUAGGGCGCGAGCGUUGUCCAGAAUUAUUGGGCGUAAAGGGCUUGUAGGCGGCUUGUUGCGCCUGCUGUGAAAACGCGGGGCUUAACUUCGCGCGUGCAGUGGGUACGGGCAGGCUUGAGUGUGGUAGGGGUGACUGGAAUUCCAGGUGUAGCGGUGGAAUGCGCAGAUAUCUGGAGGAACACCGAUGGCGAAGGCAGGUCACUGGGCCAUUACUGACGCUGAGGAGCGAAAGCAUGGGUAGCGAACAGG